This 660-nucleotide small RNA is filed under the name Pan troglodytes (chimpanzee). Its description in RNAcentral is "processed transcript". The record is from RNAcentral. Lineage: Eukaryota; Metazoa; Chordata; Mammalia; Primates; Hominidae.
GGAUACAGGAAGAGGGUGGAGGCUAGGAGAACAGCUAUUCCAGUGUUGCAGUAGAAUUUAUUCCCAUUCGGACUCCCUGACUUUGUGUUUAAAUAGGAGGAAAUCAAAGCUAAAUUAAAGUAUCUCCCAAAAUUGUAGAGAUUUCUUCAGAUAUCUCCAUUAACGAAGGGAACAAUAUCAGCCUCACCUGCAUAGCAACUGGUAGACCAGAGCCUACGGUUACUUGGAGACACAUCUCCCCCAAAGCGGUUGGCUUUGUGAGUGAAGACGAAUACUUGGAAAUUCAGGGCAUCACCCGGGAGCAGUCAGGGGACUACGAGUGCAGUGCCUCCAAUGACGUGGCCGCGCCCGUGGUACGGAGAGUAAAGGUCACCGUGAACUAUCCACCAUACAUUUCAGAAGCCAAGGGUACAGGUGUCCCCGUGGGACAAAAGGGGACACUGCAGUGUGAAGCCUCAGCAGUCCCCUCAGCAGAAUUCCAGUGGUACAAGGAUGACAAAAGACUGAUUGAAGGAAAGAAAGGGGUGAAAGUGGAAAACAGACCUUUCCUCUCAAAACUCAUCUUCUUCAAUGUCUCUGAACAUGACUAUGGGAACUACACUUGCGUGGCCUCCAACAAGCUGGGCCACACCAAUGCCAGCAUCAUGCUAUUUGGUCCAG